RNAcentral lists this ribosomal RNA (478 nucleotides) under uncultured bacterium. Its description in RNAcentral is "SSU rRNA". It matches the Rfam family "Bacterial small subunit ribosomal RNA", at positions 26 to 521 of the family's 1533-position model. The record is from RNAcentral.
AGGAUGAACGCUGGCGGCGUGCCUAACACAUGCAAGUCGAACGUCCUGUCUCGCAAGAGGCAGGGAGUGGCGGACGGGUGAGUACCACGUGGGUCAUCUACCGUGAGGUGAGGAAUACCGGCGAGAAAUCGCCGACAAGACCGCAUAGGCUCGAUGCAAGUCGAGCAAAGCUCUUUCGAGAGAGGGAGCGCCACACGAGGAGCCUGCGCCCGAUUAGCUAGCUGGUGGAGUAACGGUUCACCAGGGCGACGAUCGGUAGCUGGUCUGAGAGGACGAUCAGCCACACUGGGAUUGAGAACGGCCCAGACUCCUACGGGGGGCAGCAGUGAGGAAUUUUCGCAAUGGGGGCAACCCUGAACGAGCAACGCCGCGUGCAGGAAGAAGGUUUUCGGAUCGUAAACUGCUUUUCGUCGGGGAAGAGGAACGGACGGUACCCGAGGAAUCGAGCCCCGGCUAACUACGUGCCAGCAGCCGCGGU